This 253-nucleotide ribosomal RNA is filed under the name uncultured bacterium. RNAcentral describes it as "partial 16S ribosomal RNA". It matches the Rfam family "Bacterial small subunit ribosomal RNA", at positions 524 to 776 of the family's 1533-position model. The record is from RNAcentral.
UACGUAGGGUGCAAGCGUUGUCCGGAAUUAUUGGGCGUAAAGAGCUCGUAGGCGGUCUGUCGCGUCGGCUGUGAAAACCCGAGGCUCAACCUCGGGCCUGCAGUCGAUACGGGCAAACUGGAGUGUUGCAGGGGAGACUGGAAUUCCUGGUGUAGCGGUGGAAUGCGUAGAGAUCCGGAAGAACACCGGUGGCGAAGGCGGCCUGCUGGGCAGUGGCUGACACUGAGGCGCGACAGCGUGGGGAGCAAACAGG